UAACGAAUCUUCCGCAAUGCACGAAAGUGUGACGGAGCGACGCCGCGUGGAGGAGAAGCCCUUCGGGGUGUAAACUCCUGUCAGGGGUUACCAAGUUCUGAGGAGCCCCAGAGGAAGGCACGGCUAACUCUGUGCCAGCAGCCGCGGUAAGACAGAGGUGCCGAGCGUUAGGCGGAAUCACUGGGCUUAAAGCGUGUGUAGGCGGGUCGUUAAGUGCCUUGUGAAAUCCCACGGCUCAACCGUGGAACUGCUGGGCAUACUGGCGAUCUUGAGCCAACUAGGGGCAACUGGAACAAACGGUGGAGCGGUGAAAUGCGUAGAUAUCGUUUGGAACGCCAAUGGUGAAAACAGGUUGCUGGGGUUGUGCUGACGCUGAGACACGAAAGCCAGGGGAGCGAACGGGAUUAGAUACCCCCGUAGUCC
This 423-nucleotide ribosomal RNA is filed under the name uncultured bacterium. RNAcentral's name for it is "bacterial SSU rRNA". It matches the Rfam family "Bacterial small subunit ribosomal RNA", at positions 355 to 796 of the family's 1533-position model. The record is from RNAcentral.